RNAcentral lists this ribosomal RNA (843 nucleotides) under uncultured archaeon. Its description in RNAcentral is "bacterial SSU rRNA". It matches the Rfam family "Archaeal small subunit ribosomal RNA", at positions 76 to 922 of the family's 1478-position model. The record is from RNAcentral.
ACGUGGCACACGGCUCAGUAACACGUAGUCAACAUAACCAGAGGACGUGGAUAAACUCGGGAAACUGAGGCUAAACCGCGAUAGACCAAGAUACCUGGAAUGGUUUUUGAUCAAAAUCUAUAUGGCCUUUGGAUUGGACUGCGACCGAUCAGGCUGUUGGUGAGGUAAUGGCCCACCAAACCUGUAACCGGUACGGGCUCUGAGAGGAGGAGCCCGGAGAUGGGUACUGAGAAAAGGACCCAGGCCCUAUGGGGCGCAGCAGGCGCGAAACCUCUGCAAUAGGCGAAAGCCUGACAGGGUUAUUCUGAGUGACUUUCGCUAAGAAAGUCUUUUGACAUCUCUAAAAAUGGUGUAGAAUAAGGGGUGGGCAAGUCUGGUGUCAGCCGCCGCGGUAAUACCAGCACCCCGAGUGGUCGGGACGAUUAUUGGGCCUAAAGCAUCCGUAGCCGGUUUUACAAGUCCUCCGUUAAAUCCAACUGCUUAACAGAUGGGCCGCGGAGGAUACUAUAAGACUAGGAGGCAGGAGAGGCAAGCGGUACUCAGUGGGUAGGGGUAAAAUCCGUUGAUCCAUUGAAGACCACCAGUGGCGAAGGCGGCUUGCCAGAAUGCGCUCGACGGUGAGGGAUGAAAGCUGGGGGAGCAAACCGGAUUAGAUACCCGGGUAGUCCCAGCUGUAAACGAUGCAGACUCGGUGAUGGACUAGCUUAAUGCUGGUCCAGUACCGCAGGGAAGCCGUUAAGUCUGCCGCCUGGGUAGUACGGUCGCAGGACUGAAACUUAAAGGAAUUGGCGGGGGAGCACCACAAGGGGUGAAGCCUGCGGUUCAAUUGGAUUCAACGCCGGG